This is a small nuclear RNA of Ursus americanus (American black bear), 105 nucleotides long. Its record names the gene U4. It matches the Rfam family "U4 spliceosomal RNA". From Rfam's summary of the family: U4 small nuclear RNA (U4 snRNA) is a component of the major U2-dependent spliceosome. The structure of U4 snRNA from yeast and human has been reported. Lineage: Eukaryota; Metazoa; Chordata; Mammalia; Carnivora; Ursidae. The record is from Ensembl.
AGCUUUGCGCAGUGGCAGUAUCGUAGCCAAUGAGGUUUAUCCAAGGCGCGAUUAUUGCUAAUCAAGACAUACUGCAAAGCUACAAUAAUCAAACAGUAUGGUACU